UAAGACGUAGGAGGCGAGCGUUAUCCGGAUUUAUUGGGCGUAAAGCGCGUGCAGGCGGUUCUGUAAGUUGGGUAUGAAAUCUCCUGGCUUAACUGGGAGAGGCUACACAAAACUGCAGAGCUUGAGAAUGGGAGAGGGAGGUGGAAUUCCGGGUGUAGUGGUGAAAUGCGUAGAUAUCCGGAGGAACACCAGUGGCGAAAGCGGCCUCCUAGACCAUUUCUGACGCUCAGACGCGAAAGCUAGGGUAGCAAACGGG
RNAcentral lists this ribosomal RNA (256 nucleotides) under uncultured bacterium. RNAcentral's name for it is "partial 16S ribosomal RNA". It matches the Rfam family "Bacterial small subunit ribosomal RNA", at positions 521 to 776 of the family's 1533-position model. The record is from RNAcentral.